This is a long non-coding RNA of Cuculus canorus (common cuckoo), 2363 nucleotides long. RefSeq lists it as uncharacterized. The record is from RefSeq and is a predicted model, not a curated record. The transcript is spliced from 8 exons. Lineage: Eukaryota; Metazoa; Chordata; Aves; Cuculiformes; Cuculidae.
GAUAAAGGCUAUAAAGAACAUCUUCCCUGAUGGAUUUUGCCUUCAACGUGGGAAGUUCAGAGCUAGAAUUUGAACCUGGACCUCCGGCCAGUCAUGAGCAUGGGACUAUGGGUCUGAUUCAGGCUCACAGUUUUGAUGCCUCGAAUAAAUGUCAGCACCUUUACCAACAAAUGCAUUGAGAAGUGGAUUAGACAAGCAAGUGGGCUGAAGAAAGCAUCUGCUUCCAGUCUUCUGAUGUACCUUGAGGACCUAUAUCUGGAGUCAAUCCCUAUGUUGAGGAUCAAAACUAUAUUUUCUCUGUGUGGCUGAAGAACGUAUAUCAGAAUGAUUAAGCCUCAGCAUCACUCAGCUGGAUCUGCUGAAGAUACCAGUGUUCGAGCUUGGCCCACGACUGUACCAACUGGUCCUUUUUAAAUUGAAGACUCACCAAAGAGCAAGAAGAGAGAUGAGUAAGGAAGGCCUGUAAGGGCUGGGACUUUGAGAAACAAGCAUUCACCUCCCUGCUUCCUCUGCUGCAAAGAAACCAGACAGGACUGGAUCCUAAAGAGAAAAGUGUUUAUGCGCUUGUUGAUUAAUUGUCGGUUGGAUUCUCCAGUUGUACUCAGGACACAGUUUCCUCUCCGGAAGUUCGCUAACAGCAAGGAUCAGUAAGAAGGUCUAAUUACCUUUGGAGUUUUUUUUAAACAAUCUUGGAAAAUCUGGCUGCCAACCUAAUAUAUAAUUUCAGGAGAAAGGUAGACCUCUUGAUACCACCUCGAGUAUUGUCCUUCAUGGUAUUGGACUUACCCAGAGCAGGAUGCAAGUCCAACAUCUAGAAAGGAGAGGUGUCUGUACUCUAAUGGCCACAUACGAUGAGCUGAGAGGAGACUGACCCGAGCUGUAUGCGAUCAGAAAUAGAAGUCCUGACCUUAGCCAGUAGUGACUGGAAGAGUUUGGGCUGGACAUUGGACAAAAAGCGAUAGAGGAAGAUCCUAUGCUAUGAGCUGAGCUCUGAAACUAAACCAGAAGGAUAAAGAGGAAGAGGAACCACCCUCAAACCUGGGAUCAUAAGGUAUGAUCUGAAAACGGAGCUUCGUGUGCUUUCUGCUGGGUGCCGACUCAUCUUGCUGGUGUUGGAUAAUGUUCAUUUGGAAAAGGAACAUGAGAAUUAAAGCUGCCAGAGGCAACUCUGAAGAGCAUAUGAUGGAAACAAAUUGAAUCACCACUAAUGUGGCUAACAUUGUUGGUGGAAACUGGGACACCCGCAUGAGCCAUUGUUCAGGGUACCUCGUCUGGUUUAUGUAGCUCGCUGAGUUGAAAGCUGGAUCUGCGUUAACCUUGUGAUUGAGGGGGAUUCAUGCAAUGUGGUUUCAAUUGUCUAUGGAUGCUUUCAGUUUGUACUGCACACUGCCAGUAACGAUCGGCCCUACUGGUCUCCCACGUCCAUGGUGUUGUCUCAGCUCACCCUGAUGAAGCUGUGGUGAGGACUGUUUCCUGAUGUGGUCGCUUCUAGGAGGCUGCUGCUCUGCAAGGCUGCUAGGCGAGAGGUAUUUAUUCACUCUUCCCUCUGCCUCAAUAACAGCUGUUGCAUAGAAGUUUUCCCUGAGUACAUUUUGCCACGGAAAAGAGCUUUUUUGUUUUUCAGGCUGCUUUCUGUCCUGACUUGGUCUGGAGUUGCCUUUGGUACUGUUGUGGAAGUAUCUAAGGCCAUGAUUUAUUCUCUUGAGCACUUCUUGUUUGAAGGUCGCACAGAGUGAGGCUUGUACUGGUUUUAUCUCCCGUUUUCAUCCUACUGGUGUACAGAGCUUUUGUCUGUGGGCAUUCCUCUGUGGGCCUGAGGGUGAUGAGACCUACUAAAAUAGUGAGCGAUCACUUCAACCACCACCAAAUUACAGCCAUGCCUGAGGCAAACUACAACAGCUUUCUAACAGUGUCACCACGCUAUCUUUGUGACAGAGAUGGAGAUAAUGAGAAUUAAUUAAUCAGUCUUUGAUUAGAAAAAAAAAGAGGAGGGGGAAAUCCUUCUGCUGACUCCACUACAAAAUACAUGAAACUGGUGAGGUUUUUAUUUGAUGUUACUUCUCAAAUAUAGGGCAGGCAUUUGUAAUGUGGUGUUUGAGAUUGUGUGGCUGCUGUCUUGGUUAGCCCUCCAAACCCACUGCUGAUGGACCAAAGGAACAAGACCUUCUCAUUUUAUCAGGCUGAUGUAACUGUUGUUAUUGUCACAGUGUAAAAAACUCCCACUUAUUCAAAGCCUUGAUUAAAGUCCCAGGUGUGUUCUCCUUCACUAUAGCCAACUCUUCCUUCUUUGCGAUAUUGGGGGUGAAAUUCUGUGUCGCACUCUUUAGACUGAUGGCUAAAUCUUAGAAAUCGGUCCCUUAUGA